UACGAAGGGGGGCUAGCGUUGUUCGGAAUUACUGGGCGUAAAGCGUGCGCAGGCGGCUUCUCAAGUCAGGGGUGAAAGCCCAGAGCUCAACUCUGGAAUUGCCUUUGAGACUGAGUGGCUUGAGUACGAGAGAGGUGAGUGGAAUUCCCAGUGUAGAGGUGAAAUUCGUAGAUAUUGGGAAGAACACCGGUGGCGAAGGCGGCUCACUGGCUCGUAACUGACGCUCAUGCACGACAGCGUGGGGAGCGAACAGG
This 254-nucleotide ribosomal RNA is filed under the name uncultured bacterium. Its description in RNAcentral is "partial 16S ribosomal RNA". It matches the Rfam family "Bacterial small subunit ribosomal RNA", at positions 524 to 776 of the family's 1533-position model. The record is from RNAcentral.